This 107-nucleotide small nuclear RNA is filed under the name Colobus angolensis palliatus. Lineage: Eukaryota; Metazoa; Chordata; Mammalia; Primates; Cercopithecidae. The record is from RNAcentral.
GUGCUCACUCCUGCAGCACAUACACUAAAAUUGGAACCAUACAGAGAAGAUUAGCAUGGCUCCUGCGCAAGGAUGACAUGCAAAUUUGUGAAGCGUUCCAUAUUUUU